UGACGGUACCUGACUAAGAAGCUCCGGCUAAAUACGUGCCAGCAGCCGCGGUAAUACGUAUGGAGCAAGCGUUAUCCGGAUUUACUGGGUGUAAAGGGUGCGUAGGCGGCAUGGUAAGUCAGAUGUGAAAGACCGGGGCUCAACUCCGGGGCUGCAUUUGAAACUGCCAGGCUUGAGUACAGGAGAGGCAGGCGGAAUUCCUAGUGUAGCGGUGAAAUGCGUAGAUAUUAGGAGGAACACCAGUGGCGAAGGCGGCCUGCUGGACUGUUACUGACGCUGAGGCACGAAAGCGUGGGGAGCAAACAGGAUUAGAUACCCUG
This 320-nucleotide ribosomal RNA is filed under the name uncultured bacterium. RNAcentral's name for it is "bacterial SSU rRNA". It matches the Rfam family "Bacterial small subunit ribosomal RNA", at positions 470 to 789 of the family's 1533-position model. The record is from RNAcentral.